GACGAACGCUGGCGGCGUGCCUAAUACAUGCAAGUAGAACGCUGAAGAGAGGAGCUUGCUCUUCUUGGAUGAGUUGCGAACGGGUGAGUAACGCGUAGGUAACCUGCCUGGUAGCGGGGGAUAACUAUUGGAAACGAUAGCUAAUACCGCAUAAAAUUGAUUAUUGCAUGAUAAUUAAUUGAAAGAUGCAACUGCAUCACUACCAGAUGGACCUGCGUUGUAUUAGCUAGUUGGUGAGGUAACGGCUCACCAAGGCGACGAUACAUAGCCGACCUGAGAGGGUGAUCGGCCACACUGGGACUGAGACACGGCCCAGACUCCUACGGGAGGCAGCAGUAGGGAAUCUUCGGCAAUGGGGGGAACCCUGACCGAGCAACGCCGCGUGAGUGAAGAAGGUUUUCGGAUCGUAAAGCUCUGUUGUAAGAGAAGAACGGGUGUGAGAGUGGAAAGUUCACACUGUGACGGUAUCUGACCAGAAAGGGACGGCUAGCUACGUG
This 497-nucleotide ribosomal RNA is filed under the name uncultured bacterium. Its description in RNAcentral is "partial 16S ribosomal RNA". It matches the Rfam family "Bacterial small subunit ribosomal RNA", at positions 28 to 507 of the family's 1533-position model. The record is from RNAcentral.